GGGCCCGCACAAGCGGUGGAGCAUGUGGUUUAAUUCGAUGAUACGCGAGGAACCUUACCAGGGCUUAAAUGUAAGUUGCAUGAUUUAGAGAUAGAUCUUUCUUCGGACUACUUACAAGGUGCUGCAUGGUUGUCGUCAGCUCGUGCCGUGAGGUGUCAGGUUAAGUCCUAUAACGAGCGCAACCCCUGUUGUUAGUUGCCAGCGAUUCAAGUCGGGAACUCUAACAAGACUGCCAGUGCAAACUGUGAGGAAGGUGGGGAUGACGUCAAAUCAUCACGGCCCUUACGUCCUGGGCUACACACGUGCUACAAUGGUAGGUACAGAGAGCAGCCACUGCGUGAGCAGGAGCGAAUCUAUAAAACCUAUCACAGUUCGGAUCGGAGUCUGCAACUCGACUCCGUG
This 402-nucleotide ribosomal RNA is filed under the name uncultured bacterium. RNAcentral's name for it is "bacterial SSU rRNA". It matches the Rfam family "Bacterial small subunit ribosomal RNA", at positions 917 to 1322 of the family's 1533-position model. The record is from RNAcentral.